UAAGGGAGAGUAAUACGUAGGUAUCUACCCAUGGGUCUGGGAUAGCGGCGGGAAACUGCCGGUAAUACCAGAUAACGUCUCCGGACCAAAGGUGUGAUUCCACCUGUGGAGGAGCCUACGGCCUAUUAGCUAGUUGGCAGGGUAACGGCCUACCAAGGCUUGGAUGGGUACGGGGUGUGAGAGCAUGCCCCCGCUCACUGGGACUGAGACACUGCCCAGACACCUACGGGUGGCUGCAGUCGAGAAUCUUCGGCAAUGGGCGCAAGCCUGACCGAGCGACGCCGCGUGCGGGAUGAAGGCCUUCGGGUUGUAAACCGCUGUCGUAGGGGAUGAAACGUAGGUGAGUUAUCUCAUCUAUUUGACUGAACCUAGGAGGAAGGGCCGGCUAAUCUCGUGCCAGCAGCCGCGGUAAUACGAGAGGCCCAAACGUUAUUCGGAUUUACUGGGCUUAAAGAGUUCGUAGGCGGCACGGAAAGUGGGGUGUGAAAUCCCUCGGCUUAACCGAGGAACUGCGCUCCAAACUAUCGUGCUAGAGGGGGAUAGAGGUAAGCGGAACUGAUGGUGGAGCGGUGAAAUGCGUUGAUAUCAUCAGGAACACCGGAGGCGAAGGCGGCUUACUGGGUCCUUUCUGACGCUGAGGAACGAAAGCUAGGGGAGCAAACGGGAUUAGAUACCCCGGUAGUCCUAGCCGUAAACGGUGAGCACUGGACCGGAGCUCUGCACAGGGUUUCGGUCGUAGCGAAAGUGUUAAGUGCUCGCCUGGGGAGUAUGGUCGCAAGGCUGAAACUCAAGGAAUUGACGGGGCUCACACAGCGUGG
Molecule: ribosomal RNA, 818 nt
Filed under: uncultured bacterium
Lineage: Bacteria
Description: bacterial SSU rRNA
Rfam family: Bacterial small subunit ribosomal RNA
Source: RNAcentral